Molecule: long non-coding RNA, 699 nt
Organism: Canis lupus familiaris (dog)
Lineage: Eukaryota; Metazoa; Chordata; Mammalia; Carnivora; Canidae
Exons: 4
Source: RefSeq, a predicted model, not a curated record
CACACACACACACACACACCCCGAGGGCACACUUCCCGCGUCCACCCGCGACUGCACAGCACAUUUGGGGGCGGGGGGGGCGCGAUGGGGCUUUCUGCCCCAGGAGUGCAGGUGAAGCAGCCCCACUGGAUAGUCUGUUGGGGUCCGAGACCCUCAGCUCUCUACUUUCAGGGGACCUGAACGAAGUGAAAGCUGCUCGGUCAUUCGAGAACUCCCGAGGGCUCCAACCGCAGUUCCCCGAGCGUGCCGGGGACCAGAUUUCAGGCGAGGAGCAGAGAAGGACGCCUAAAUAAAAACAGGAAACCCGAUUUAAAAAAAGAUGAAGCCUCACUGUGGCUGAAUUACGGGAAUGUACCCUAAUAUCCUUCCCAACAAAUCAUCGGAGGCUCACAGCCCAGGCCAUCCUACCCCAGGCCCAUCUCGCUGUCCCCGGCAGAAGUCUCCAGCCCACUCCAGGGAGAUACAGCCAAGAGCCAGAAGAGAAAUGGACACAUCAGAGAGAAAAUCUGAUGGCAGGAGUUCCGUGGAAGAAGCCAUCAGGUGAGGAAUGCUUUUGCAUCAUUCAGAAGCACUCUUCAGGGCAGCCCCGGUGGCACAGUGGUUUAGCGCCGUCUGCAGCCCAGGGUGUGAUCCUGGAGACCCUAGAUCGAGUCCCACGUCAGGAUCUUUGUAUGAUGCCUGCUUCUCCCUCUGCCUCUC